AGUGAACGCUGGCGGCGUGCUUAACACAUGCAAGUCGAACGAGAACGGGUUAUAGCUUGCUAUAAUUGUCAGCUAAGUGGCGCACGGGUGAGUAAUGUAUAGGUAAUAUGCCUCUUACUAAGGGAUAACAAUUGGAAACGAUUGCUAAUACCUUAUACUCCUUAUUAACUAAAGUUAGUAAGGGAAAGAUUUAUUGGUAAGAGAUUAGCCUGUAUUGUAUCAGUUAGUUGGUGGGGUAAUGGCCUACCAAGACUAUGACGCAUAACUGGUUUGAGAGAAUGAUCAGUCACACUGGAACUGAGACACGGUCCAGACUCCUACGGGAGGCAGCAGUGGGGAAUAUUGCACAAUGGACGAAAGUCUGAUGCAGCAACGCCGCGUGGAGGAUGACACAUUUCGGUGCGUAAACUCCUUUUAUAUAAGAAGAUAAUGACGGUAUUAUAUGAAUAAGCACCGGCUAACUCCGUGCCAGCCGCCGCGGUAA
RNAcentral lists this ribosomal RNA (484 nucleotides) under uncultured bacterium. RNAcentral's name for it is "partial 16S ribosomal RNA". It matches the Rfam family "Bacterial small subunit ribosomal RNA", at positions 29 to 523 of the family's 1533-position model. The record is from RNAcentral.